ACACUUUUUCCAAACUUUGACACUAGAGACAUAUUCCACUUGUUGUCUUAAACACAAGGUCAUUGAACAAGUCAUUUUUUUCUUAAUUCUAUCUCUUUAAAUCACUUUUUUCCCCAAACUUCACCUUCUUUGUGACUCAAUUAUCAACCUUAGCUUCAUGUAACAAACUAUUAAACCAUUUACUUAACCUUCUUUACAUUAACAAAGACUCUAGUUCAAAAUUCAUCACAUCUAAGUUUAAGGCUUAAGAUGAAGGUAAUUUUUCUUCUUCAAGUGUUCCUAUUGAUGAUUUCAGGUUCUCAAGCUAUAUCUAAUGAAGAUUUCAAUCUCAAUUUCACUUCAGAUGAUAAAACCCUAAUCCACAGCAAUGAACAAGCUCAUGAGCUUCUAGGAAACUUAUAUGGAAAUGGAAACAUUGAAGUCUCCACAAGGUUGAACCACAAAGUUGUUUAUGAGGAAAGUAAAAAUGAACAGAAACAUGAACUAUCAGUUACUAUAAGAAAGGGAGGAGGCGGAGGAAGGGGAGGAGGCGGAGGAAGGGGAAGAGGAUUCGGAGGAAGGGCAGGAGGAAUUGGUGUUGGAGUUAUCGGCGGUGGAGUGGGCGCUGGAAUUGCCGGCGGAGCACUCGACCAUCACAAUCACUCUCAUAAUUCUGGAACGUCAUUAUUUGCAGGACCUUAUUGUUGGGUCAUAACAUUUAUUUCAUGUUGUCGUGUCUAGUGCUCGUGUCAACGUCAGUACUACAUAGUUACAUAGAGAUAAGCUGGACAAGCAUCUGAUGCAGCUAAAGGUAGAGGCUCCAAAUGAAGCACCUUGCUUCUAUUUCAAGCAACUAUAUAUCAACAUAGAGAAUUUGGUCCAUAUGCUUCUCUCCCUCUCUUUAUACUCCUUAUAUAAACCCUCUUCUUCUACCAACUUGAAGUACGUUAACAAUUAUCAAAUUGUGUACAAAAAACCUUGAGCCAAAAAUGAGAAUAAGAUAUCUUACAUGCUUCAUCAUUGUUUUCUUCACUCAAGUAAUAUCAAUCUUUGGUUUACAUGGAAACUUCAGUUCUGAACAGAAAGGUCUAAACUCAUCAAAUAACAACAUUCAAACAAAGCAAAGUAUUAGUAGAACCUAUGAAAACAUAAAGGACGGAAUCAAGUUUCACAAAAAAGGUGAGCAAUAUAACAAGGAGGAAAAGUUCGAGCAAGAUUAUGAGUUGAUUAAGAAAGCUAAUAGAGGAAAAGGAGGUAAUGGUGGUGCAAAUGUUAAUUAUCGCUCCGACCCUCGCCGUUCUCGAAAAUCUGCAUCAUCUUUUUUAUCAAGGAUUUCAACUGUGUGUGUAAGCUUUGUGUUAUUAUUAGUUUUCUCCUUCCAUGCUAAGUUGCUCUAAAUUUUCAAACAUUUUUAGUAUCACAUGUUUCUGUUUGAAGCUUGGGAUUCUUUAGAAGAGAAGUGAAUCUCUUUGUACAUCAUGAAGUAUUGUUAUUGUGCUUCUAAAUUCUCAGAACUUAAAUUUUAAAUUUUGACAUGAAUAAAUGCUUCUAGUUAAGCUUGUCACA
This is an RNA transcript of Cicer arietinum (chickpea), 1545 nucleotides long. RefSeq lists it as uncharacterized. Lineage: Eukaryota; Viridiplantae; Streptophyta; Magnoliopsida; Fabales; Fabaceae. The record is from RefSeq and is a predicted model, not a curated record.